Molecule: non-coding RNA, 135 nt
Organism: Triticum aestivum (bread wheat)
Lineage: Eukaryota; Viridiplantae; Streptophyta; Magnoliopsida; Poales; Poaceae
Source: Rfam
AUUCUAGUCCCUCCAUCCCAAAAUUCUUGUCUUAAAAUUGUCUAGAUACGGAUGUAUCUAAUACUAAAACUUGACUUGAUACAUCCAUGUUUAGACAAAUUUAAGACAAGAAUUUUGGGACGGAGGGAGUAUAAA